UACGUAGGGUGCGAGCGUUGUCCGGAAUUAUUGGGCGUAAAGGGCUCGUAGGCGGUUUGUCGCGUCGGGAGUGAAAUCCACUGGCUUAACUGGUGGCUUGCCUUCGAUACGGGCAGACUGGAGGUAUGCAGGGGAGAACGGAAUUCCUGGUGUAGCGGUGAAAUGCGCAGAUAUCAGGAGGAACACCGGUGGCGAAGGCGGGUCUCUGGGCCGAUACUGACGCUGAGGAGCGAAAGCGUGGGGAGCGAACAGG
This 253-nucleotide ribosomal RNA is filed under the name uncultured bacterium. RNAcentral describes it as "partial 16S ribosomal RNA". It matches the Rfam family "Bacterial small subunit ribosomal RNA", at positions 524 to 776 of the family's 1533-position model. The record is from RNAcentral.